AUUGAACGCUGGCGGCAUGCUUUACACAUGCAAGUCGAACGGUAACAGGGUGCUUGCACCGCUGACGAGUGGCGAACGGGUGAGUAAUGCGUCGGAACGUGCCGAGUAGUGGGGGAUAACGCAGCGAAAGUUGUGCUAAUACCGCAUACGUACUGAGGUAGAAAGUGGGGGACCUUCGGGCCUCACGCUAUUCGAGCGGCCGACGUCUGAUUCGCUAGUAGGUGAGGUAAAGGCUCACCUAGGCGACGAUCAGUAGCGGGGCUGAGAGGAUGAUCCGCCACACUGGGACUGAGACACGGCCCAGACUCCUACGGGAGGCAGCAGUGGUGAAUUUUGGACAAUGGGCGAAAGCCUGAUCCAGCCAUGCCGCGUGUCUGAAGAAGGCCUUCGGGUUGUAAGGACUUUUGUCAGGGAGGAAAUCCCUAGUGCUAAUAACACUGGGUGAUGACAGUACCUGAAGAAUAAGCACCGGCUAACUACGUGCCAGCAGCCGCGGUAA
This 499-nucleotide ribosomal RNA is filed under the name uncultured bacterium. RNAcentral's name for it is "partial 16S ribosomal RNA". It matches the Rfam family "Bacterial small subunit ribosomal RNA", at positions 30 to 523 of the family's 1533-position model. The record is from RNAcentral.